GUUGUAGUAAGUUUGGAUCCCUGAGUUUGAUCCUGGCUCAGGAGUCUGAUAAGGUAACCGGUAUUGGAUCCCCUCAAGUUUGAUCCUGGCUCAGGAAGGGAGAAAAAAGUAACCGGAAUUUUUUCCCCUUUAAUUUUUUCCGGGGUCAGCAGGGGACCUUCGGGCCUUGCGCUUUUUUUCUCCCAAGGUUUAUCCAGCUAGUAAGUGAGGUAAAGGCUCACCUAGGCAUCUUUCCCUUUCUGGUUUGAGAGGAUGAUCAGUCACACUGGAACUGAGACACGGUCCAUACUCCUACGGGAGGCAGCAGUGGGGAAUAUUGGACAAUGGGCGAAAGCCUGAUCCAGCCAUGCCGCGUGUGUGAAGAAGGUCUUCGGAUUGUAAAGCACUUUAAGUUGGGAGGAAGGGCAGUAAGUUAAUACCUUGCUGUUUUGACGUUACCAACAAAAUAAGCACCGGCUAACUUCGUGCCAACAGCCGCGGUAAUACUAAGGGUGCAAGCGUUAAUCGGAAUUACUGGGCGUAAAGCGCGCGUAGGUGGUUCAGCAAGUUGGAGGUGAAAUCCCCGGGCUCAACCUGGGAACUGCCUCCAAAACUACUGAGCUAGAGUACGGUAGAGGGUAGUGGAAUUUCCUGUGUAGCGCUGAAAUGCAUAGAUAUAGGAAGGAACACCAGUGGCGAAGGCGACUACCUGGACUGAUACUGACACUGANUGCGAAAGCGUGGGGAGCAAACAGAUUUAUUACCCUGGUAGUCCACUCCGUAAACAAUGUCUACUAGCCGUUAGGAUCCUUGAAAUCUUAAUGGCCCACUAACCUAAUCUAGUGAGCUAGAGUACGGUAGAGGGUAGUGGAUUUUCCUGUGUAGCGGUGAAUUGUGUAGAUAUAGGAAGGAACUCCUGUGGAGAAGGCGUCUAUUUGGAUUGAUACUGACUUUGAGGUGAGAAAGCGUGGGGAGCAAACAGGAUUAGAUACCCUGGUAGUCCACGCCGUAAACGAUGUCGACUAGCCGUUGGGAUCCUUGAGAUUUUAGUGGCGCAGCUAACGCAUUAAGUCGACCGCCUGGGGAGUACGGCCGCAAGGUUAAAAUUCAAAUGAAUUGACGGGGGCCCGCACAAGCGGUGGAGCAUGUGGUUUAAUUUGAAGCAACGCGAAGAACCUUACCUGGCCUUGACAUGCUGAGAACUUUCCAGAGAUGGAUUGGUGCCUUCGGGAACUCAGACACAGGUGCUGCAUGGCUGUCGUCAGCUCGUGUCGUGAGAUGUUGGGUUAAGUCCCGUAACGAGCGCAACCCUUGUCCUUAGUUACCAGCACCUCGGGAGGGCAUUCUAAGGAGACUGCCGGUGACAAACCGGAGGAAGGUGGGGAUGACGUCAAGUUAUCAUGGCCCUUACGGCCAGGGCUACACAAAUACUACAAUGGUCGGUUCAAAGGGUUGCCAAGACGCGAGGAGGAGGUAAAACCAUAAAACCGAUCGUAUUCCGGAUAGCUUUCCCCAACUCGAGAACGUGAAAUAAAAAUAACCAGUAAUGGAACCUCAGAAUUUUACCCCGGGUUCGGAAAGGGGCAACAAGGUAACCAGUUUUGGCUCCUUGAGAGUUUGAUCCUGCCUCAGGAAGUCGUAACAAGGUAACCAGUAUUGACCUCUAGAGU
This 1649-nucleotide ribosomal RNA is filed under the name Aquipseudomonas alcaligenes. RNAcentral's name for it is "bacterial SSU rRNA". It matches the Rfam family "Bacterial small subunit ribosomal RNA". The record is from RNAcentral. Lineage: Bacteria; Pseudomonadati; Pseudomonadota; Gammaproteobacteria; Pseudomonadales; Pseudomonadaceae.